Molecule: ribosomal RNA, 809 nt
Filed under: uncultured Gammaproteobacteria bacterium
Lineage: Bacteria; Pseudomonadati; Pseudomonadota; Gammaproteobacteria
Description: bacterial SSU rRNA
Rfam family: Bacterial small subunit ribosomal RNA
Source: RNAcentral
UAGUAGGCGUCGAGUGGCGGACGGGUGAGUAACGCGUAGGAAUCUGCCUGAUAGUGGGGGAUAGCCCGGAGAAAUUCGGAUUAAUACCGCAUAAUCUAUUCGUAGUAAAGUGGGGGACUUUCGAGCCUCACGCUAUCAGAUGAGCCUGCGUAAGAUUAGCUUGUUGGUAGGGUAAAAGCCUACCAAGGCGACGAUCUUUAGCUGGUCUGAGAGGAUGAUCAGCCACAUCGGGACUGAGACACGGCCCGAACUCCUACGGGAGGCAGCAGUGGGGAAUAUUGGACAAUGGGGGCAACCCUGAUCCAGCAAUACCGCGUGUGUGAAGAAGGCCUGAGGGUUGUAAAGCACUUUCAAUUGUGAAGAAAAGUUAACGGUUAAUAACCGUUAGCCUUGACGUUAACUUUAGAAGAAGCACCGGCUAACUCCGUGCCAGCAGCCGCGGUAAUACGGAGGGUGCAAGCGUUAAUCGGAAUUACUGGGCGUAAAGCGUGCGUAGGUGGUUUAUUAAGUCAGAUGUGAAAGCCCCGGGCUUAACCUGGGAACUGCAUUUGAAACUGGUAAACUAGAGUAUGGUAGAGGAAAGUGGAAUUUCUGGUGUAGCGGUGAAAUGCGUAGAUAUCAGAAGGAACAUCAAUGGCGAAGGCAGCUUUCUGGACCAAUACUGACACUGAGGUACGAAAGCGUGGGUAGCAAACAGGAUUAGAUACCCUGGUAGUCCACGCCGUAAACGAUGAUAACUAGCCGUUGGAGGGAUUUACCCUUUAGUGGCGAAGCUAACGCGUUAAGUAUCCGCCCUGGGUACGCCGACA